UACGGAGGGGGCUAGCGUUAUUCGGAAUUACUGGGCGUAAAGCGCACGUAGGCGGAUUGGAAAGUCAGAGGUGAAAUCCCAGAGCUCAACUUUGGAACUGCCUUUGAAACUCCCAGGCUUGAGGUCGAGAGAGGUGAGUGGAAUUCCGAGUGUAGAGGUGAAAUUCGUAGAGAUGCGGAGGAACACCAGUGGCGAAGGCGGCUUACUGGUCCAUUACUGACGCUGAGGUGCGAAAGCGUGGGGAGCAAACAGG
Molecule: ribosomal RNA, 253 nt
Filed under: uncultured bacterium
Lineage: Bacteria
Description: partial 16S ribosomal RNA
Rfam family: Bacterial small subunit ribosomal RNA
Source: RNAcentral